This 253-nucleotide ribosomal RNA is filed under the name uncultured bacterium. Its description in RNAcentral is "partial 16S ribosomal RNA". It matches the Rfam family "Bacterial small subunit ribosomal RNA", at positions 524 to 776 of the family's 1533-position model. The record is from RNAcentral.
UACGUAGGGGGGCUAGCGUUGUCCGGAAUCAUUGGGCGUAAAGCGCGUGUAGGCGGUCCGGUAAGUCCGCUGUGAAAGUCGGGGGGCUCAACCCUCGGAUGCCGGUGGAUACUGUCGGGCUUGAGUACGGAAGAGGCGAGUGGAAUCCUGGUGUAGCGGUGAAAUGCGCAGAUAUCAGGAGGAACACCAAUGCGAAGGCAGCUCGCUGGGACGUUACUGACGCUGAGACGCGAAAGCGUGGGGAGCAAACAGG